Molecule: ribosomal RNA, 934 nt
Filed under: Alteromonas sp.
Lineage: Bacteria; Pseudomonadati; Pseudomonadota; Gammaproteobacteria; Alteromonadales; Alteromonadaceae
Description: bacterial SSU rRNA
Rfam family: Bacterial small subunit ribosomal RNA
Source: RNAcentral
UACCUGCAAGUCGAACGGAAACAUGUCUAGCUUGCUAGAUGAUGUCGAGUGGCGGACGGGUGAGUAAUGCUUGGGAACUUGCCUUUGCGAGGGGGAUAACAGUUGGAAACGACUGCUAAUACCGCAUAAUGUCUUCGGACCAAACGGGGCUUCGGCUCCGGCGCAAAGAGAGGCCCAAGUGAGAUUAGCUAGUUGGUGAGGUAAAGGCUCACCAAGGCAACGAUCUCUAGCUGUUCUGAGAGGAAGAUCAGCCACACUGGGACUGAGACACGGCCCAGACUCCUACGGGAGGCAGCAGUGGGGAAUAUUGCACAAUGGGGGAAACCCUGAUGCAGCCAUGCCGCGUGUGUGAAGAAGGCCUUCGGGUUGUAAAGCACUUUCAGUUGUGAGGAAAAGUUAGUAGUUAAUACCUGCUAGCCGUGACGUUAACAACAGAAGAAGCACCGGCUAACUCCGUGCCAGCAGCCGCGGUAAUACGGAGGGUGCGAGCGUUAAUCGGAAUUACUGGGCGUAAAGCGCACGCAGGCGGUUUGUUAAGCUAGAUGUGAAAGCCCCGGGCUCAACCUGGGACGGUCAUUUAGAACUGGCAGACUAGAGUCUUGGAGAGGGGAGUGGAAUUCCAGGUGUAGCGGUGAAAUGCGUAGAUAUCUGGAGGAACAUCAGUGGCGAAGGCGACUCCCUGGCCAAAGACUGACGCUCAUGUGCGAAAGUGUGGGUAGCGAACAGGAUUAGAUACCCUGGUAGUCCACACCGUAAACGCUGUCUACUAGCUGUUUGUGACUUUAAGUCGUGAGUAGCGAAGCUAACGCGAUAAGUAGACCGCCUGGGGAGUACGGCCGCAAGGUUAAAACUCAAAUGAAUUGACGGGGGCCCGCACAAGCGGUGGAGCAUGUGGUUAAUUCGAUGCACGCGAAGACCUUACUACACUUGACAU